UGUUUAUCCUCCUCUGUCAGAGUAGAAGAGGUGGUUUGCCUGUGAGCUCAUUAUUUUCUCUCUCCAUCAGAACAGUAGAAUCUUCCACGAGGGCAAAAAGUGAUCGACAGUGUGGAGGAUUGGUUUGUUCUUUCAAAGACGUCAGUCUUUAAACGUCUGUCCUCGGGUCAGAUGUUUGUCGCUUGACUGGAAAACUGUUUUCUAAGAAACUGUCAAUUCAGGCAUCAAGAAAAACAUUUUGAUGAGGAGGAGGGAACGUUAAUCACUCGUCCCUCUCCCAUAUUUUUCCCCAGAUGGUCUGGAAGUUUGAACCAGUGAUUUGCUUCUCGCACGCCCACUAUUCUAACCUUGAGGCUGGGCUGCGAAUGACAGCAGAGAGUUACAGCAGCAGGAGGAGGAGGAGGAGGAGGAACAGCAGAGAUAACAGGCUGAUGCCGGAGGUGAAGAAGUAAAGAGUGACUCUCAGAAUAAAACCAGUCGACCGUGUGGUCCCCCGAGGACGACUCAGGACUCCUACAAACUCACAGCUGCGUUCCACUCUGCUGCGGGCCGGGGAUGACCUGCAGAGGAGGCCAGAGACUUAGCACAGAUUUCAUAGUUCAGACGCUCAUCACAAGAGCCAGCGCUGCCCCGCUGCCCAACCAGACACUGCCAGAAUACUGAGAGGCUUCUUCACUGAGUCGAGAGGCGGAAAGUGGCUGUGGAUGUGCUGCACACAUCGUAUGACAGGCUCCACCUCUGGGACUUCCUGUCUGUUUUAGUGGGUGCUGACAGCAGUUGGAGUCCUCCAGGAGGAGGCGGCGACUCGGCACAGACGUGAGACUCCUACACUCAUUAGGAUCGACACCGAAGCUACGCUCUGAUUGACUGCAAUUUCCUGACUGUACGCCGGGCCUCUCUCUCUCUGCGGCAGCUCAGUGGGUAUUUGUGUCAAUCAGUCCCAGCAGAGAUCGUUCCUGCCCCCGCCAAUGACAGCCUGUCCGGACUAGUAGGCUGUAACGGGCUCAAUAAGGGUCUGCAGAAAACGGCGGUCCACAUGGGUGCACUACAGCCGUCAUAUGGAGUUCACUACAAAGAGAGCAUGAAGUGUGCUACCACAGGCAGGACUUUGAAGCGACUCUGCAGGCUCUGCACUGACGGAGGGAAUCACAGCGUGGACGCUCUCGGCUGAAAUGAGAUUCAGUGGGAAAGUGGCUGGCCUCGGUCUCAGUGAGAAGGUGAGGGGCUCAGUGAUCCAGCAGGACCUCUGUAUCGAGCUGCUGCCUCUACAAAUGAAGAAGAGCUGGUCGGGCUUUUUCAGCAGACACCUUGAAAUACUUAAAAAUGUUCUCAGGAAAAAAGAGAUUUCUCCAGACUGAAGCUUUGAUGUCGUCCAUCUUCAUCCAGUGUGAAGCUACUGGUUUGUAAAGCUCCAGAGACGCACGUUAGACCAUUAACCUCUAAUUUGGUGAAGUUAUCAUCAUCAACAUUGUUUUGUCUUUCAUAGGUUAUAUGUCCUUCAUGGUGUGUCCUGUGUCUGUUCUGUGUCUGUCUUUUUAUUUAUUUUUGAGUACAAAAGAAAGAAAGACUCAUUGAGAUUACAGACAAGCUCAGUUGGAAUAAGUAUAAAAUUAGAGAUGAAAAAGACACUUGAUUGAUUUGUUUUUCCAUGCAAUUUUAUUUAUUAUUUAC
Long non-coding RNA from Lates calcarifer (barramundi perch), 1671 nucleotides. RefSeq lists it as uncharacterized. Lineage: Eukaryota; Metazoa; Chordata; Actinopteri; Centropomidae. The transcript has 6 exons. The record is from RefSeq and is a predicted model, not a curated record.